UAGGGAAUCUUCCACAAUGGACGCAAGUCUGAUGGAGCAACGCCGCGUGAGUGAAGAAGGCUUUCGGGUCGUAAAACUCUGUUAUUGAAGAAGAACGUGUGUGACAGUAACUGGUCAUGCAGUGACGGUAUUCAAUCAGAAAGUCACGGCUAACUACGUGCCAGCAGCCGCGGUAAUACGUAGGUGGCAAGCGUUGUCCGGAUUUAUUGGGCGUAAAGCGAGUGCAGGCGGUCUUUUAAGUCUGAUGUGAAAGCCUUCGGCUUAACCGAAGAAGGGCAUCGGAAACUGGGAGACUUGAGUGCAGAAGAGGAGAGUGGGACUCCAUGUGUAGCGGUGAAAUGCGUAGAUAUAUGGAAGAACACCAGUGGCGAAGGCGGCUCUCUGGUCUGUAACUGACGCUGAGGCUCGAAAGCGUGGGUAGCAAACAGGAUUAGAUACCCUGGUAGUC
This 448-nucleotide ribosomal RNA is filed under the name uncultured bacterium. RNAcentral's name for it is "partial 16S ribosomal RNA". It matches the Rfam family "Bacterial small subunit ribosomal RNA", at positions 355 to 795 of the family's 1533-position model. The record is from RNAcentral.